AUUGAACGCUGGCGGCAGGCUUAACACAUGCAAGUCGAGCGGUAACAGGAGAAGCUUGCUUCUCGCUGACGAGCGGCGGACGGGUGAGUAAUACUUAGGAAUCUACCUAGUAGUGGGGGAUAGCUCGGGGAAACUCGAAUUAAUACCGCAUACGACCUACGGGAGAAAGGGGGCAACUUGUUGCUCUCGCUAUUAGAUGAGCCUAAGUCGGAUUAGCUAGAUGGUGGGGUAAAGGCCUACCAUGGCGACGAUCUGUAGCUGGUCUGAGAGGAUGAUCAGCCACUCCGGGACUGAGACACGGCCCGGAAUCCUACGGGAGGCAGUAGUGGGGUAUAUUGGACAAUGGGGGCAACCCUGAUCCAGCCACGCCGCGUGUGUGAAGAAGGCCUUUUGGUUGUAAAGCACUUUAAGCAGUGAAGAAGACUCUAGGGUUAAUACCCUUAGACGAUGACAUUAGCUGCAGAAUAAGCACCGGCUAACUCUGUGCCAGCCGCCGCGGUAA
Molecule: ribosomal RNA, 502 nt
Filed under: uncultured bacterium
Lineage: Bacteria
Description: partial 16S ribosomal RNA
Rfam family: Bacterial small subunit ribosomal RNA
Source: RNAcentral